CUUACUAAUGCGAAUCUCAUCCAAUACUCAACCCAUAAAUCCUACCCGUCAACUCAAAAGAAAAUACUGCAGAGAUUUGUUAACCUAAAGUAACAUAUCACGUUGGGUUCCAGCAAUGAUUGGCCUCCUUCCUCAUAUCAUUCACAGUUAAAAUGUAUAUAAAUUAUUGUAUUUAAAAUUAUCAAAUUUGCUUAUUGUGAUAUAAUUAUAGUAUUAUUGAAUACAGAUUGAUACAUUCUUUUUUUGAAAGAGAAUUUGAUUGGGAAUAAGAUACUUUAGGGAG
This is a non-coding RNA of Cinara cedri, 283 nucleotides long. NCBI's taxonomy places the organism in Eukaryota, Metazoa, Arthropoda, Insecta, Hemiptera, Aphididae. The record is from the annotation of a GenBank genome assembly.